GCCCGGGUGGCGAAAUUGGCAGACGCACUACCUUGAGGUGGUAGCGCUCGAAAGGGCGUGCUGGUUCAAAUCCAGUCCCGGGCACCA
Molecule: transfer RNA, 87 nt
Filed under: Pseudomonadota bacterium
Lineage: Bacteria; Pseudomonadati; Pseudomonadota
Description: Proteobacteria bacterium (wastewater metagenome) tRNA-Leu
Rfam family: tRNA
About the family: Transfer RNA (tRNA) molecules are approximately 80 nucleotides in length. Their secondary structure includes four short double-helical elements and three loops (D, anti-codon, and T loops). Further hydrogen bonds mediate the characteristic L-shaped molecular structure. tRNAs have two regions of fundamental functional importance: the anti-codon, which is responsible for specific mRNA codon recognition, and the 3' end, to which the tRNAs corresponding amino acid is attached (by aminoacyl-tRNA synthetases). tRNAs cope with the degeneracy of the genetic code in two manners: having more than one tRNA (with a specific anti-codon) for a particular amino acid; and 'wobble' base-pairing, i.e. permitting non-standard base-pairing at the 3rd anti-codon position.
Source: RNAcentral